RNAcentral lists this ribosomal RNA (184 nucleotides) under uncultured Staphylococcus sp. RNAcentral's name for it is "partial 16S ribosomal RNA". It matches the Rfam family "Bacterial small subunit ribosomal RNA", at positions 156 to 334 of the family's 1533-position model. The record is from RNAcentral. Lineage: Bacteria; Bacillati; Bacillota; Bacilli; Caryophanales; Staphylococcaceae.
GAAGGAGCUAAUACCGGAUGAUAUUUUGAACCGCAUGGUUCAAAAGUGAAAGACGGUCUUGCUGUCACUUAUAGAUGGAUCCGCGCUGCAUUAGCUAGUUGGUAAGGUAACGGCUUACCAAGGCAACGAUGCAUAGCCGACCUGAGAGGGUGAUCGGCCACACUGGAACUGAGACACGGUCCAG